This 1169-nucleotide long non-coding RNA is filed under the name Heterocephalus glaber (naked mole-rat). RNAcentral describes it as "lncRNA (ENSHGLG00000037998.1)". Lineage: Eukaryota; Metazoa; Chordata; Mammalia; Rodentia; Bathyergidae. The record is from RNAcentral.
GGAAAAACAAGAUGAUGUCAUGUCAUAAUGGAUUAAUGCUUUGUAUGGACUCUUCAUUUUGAUUGGAGACACAGAAGAGAGCUGAAUUAACUAAGCACACCCUCCUUGGAACCCAGACACCACUUUCUGAGCAGCUACAUGAAGAGAGCACUUGGUGGGCUUUGGCCAUGGCUCCAUCUGAUAUCUUAGCUGAUAGCAUCAACAAUGAAGGAGUCAUCAGGAGACACUUGGUGAUAUUGAAGUUCAAGAGAAAGAACAUCAAGGGAGGCAGAAGUAGUGAACAAGAGGAAGACUGAGGACCCCCAAACUUGGACAUGACUCAGUAGAAACACACUGUAAAAUUUUCAGAAAGUUCAAGAUUCCUCUUGCUUCUGAUUAAAAGGGUCACAGCCCUCCCUAGUCCAGGUGCUGAAUAUGCAGUGUGGAAUAAUGGAGUAUUCCUAUUUUCGUAGAUUUUACAUGAUCGUGAAGAAAGCAAAAACUGACACAUACUUAUGUAAUAAUGAUAUCAAGGUUAUGAAGCAAAAAAAAUUGAAUAAGGCAGUGGAGAAUAUACGACAAGAGAAAGAAGCCAUCUGAGAAGCUGACUCCCUGCCCCAGUCAAGCCUUCAGAUGACUGUAGCCCCUGGCAAUAUCUUGGGGGCAAUGGAAGGAGACACCCUGAACCAAUCCACACAGAGAAGCUGACCCUGGAUUCCUGAGCUGGAGAGGCUGCUGCCAUGAAGUGAAAAAUCUACUCUGCCACACACAUUCCUACUGCCAUAAUGCACUGUGCCAUCACAGACACAAAGCAACUGGGCCAAGUGUCAUUGGAAUGCAACUGGUUUGAGCAAGGAAAUUCUAUGGAAGGAUCUGAAGAACUGGAUUGAUCGGCCCUUUGCUGUCUAUCCCCACGUAAGAAGAGAACUGCAAGUGCCAAGGCUCAGAAAUGUUCAAGAGUCGGCAUCCUCUGAGUUCCUUUGCAGGCUCUUCAUCAACCUAGGUGGAAUGUGUGGCUGGCAGGAAGCCAGCAUCAUCCCUUGAUCCCCUCCUCCAUAUGACUCAGCACAGAUCGGACACUUUAAUAGCUUCUGAGUCCAAGUUUGAACUCGCCCCAAAUGAAAGCCUCCCUCCCCUCAGUGCUUCCCCUACCUUCACAGCCCACUCUCCAUUUCCAAUUUAUCUGCUAG